This is a non-coding RNA of Spirochaetaceae bacterium 4572_7, 73 nucleotides long. NCBI's taxonomy places the organism in Bacteria, Pseudomonadati, Spirochaetota, Spirochaetia, Spirochaetales, Spirochaetaceae. The record is from Rfam.
GCCGCUGUAGCUCAGUCGGUAGAGCAGGGGACUGAAAAUCCCUGUGUCAAGAGUUCAAGUCUCUUUGGUGGCA